AAUAAUUGAAUGUUCUUCAGUUCGUAUAAAUCUUUCGCCUUUUACUAAAGAUUUCCGUGGAGGGGAACGUUUAUGAAUGGGCUUGACAUUAUUUCCACUGAGAGAGGCUGGUACCUGUUU
Chelonoidis abingdonii (Abingdon island giant tortoise) is the source of this 120-nucleotide small nuclear RNA. RefSeq annotates it as U5 spliceosomal RNA. The record is from RefSeq and is a predicted model, not a curated record. NCBI's taxonomy places the organism in Eukaryota, Metazoa, Chordata, Testudines, Testudinidae.